GCAGCAGUGGCUUAGUGGCUAAGAGCACUGGCUGCUCUUUCAGAGGAACCUGGGUUCAAUUCCCAGUACUUGCA
RNAcentral lists this transfer RNA (74 nucleotides) under Mus musculus (house mouse). It matches the Rfam family "tRNA". From Rfam's summary of the family: Transfer RNA (tRNA) molecules are approximately 80 nucleotides in length. Their secondary structure includes four short double-helical elements and three loops (D, anti-codon, and T loops). RNAcentral also lists the same sequence under 1 other name. The record is from Rfam by way of RNAcentral. Lineage: Eukaryota; Metazoa; Chordata; Mammalia; Rodentia; Muridae.